RNAcentral lists this small RNA (97 nucleotides) under Fragilariopsis kerguelensis. Its description in RNAcentral is "partial transfer-messenger RNA". Lineage: Eukaryota; Bacillariophyta; Bacillariophyceae; Bacillariales; Bacillariaceae. The record is from RNAcentral.
UGGAAAAAACAUAAAUGCAAACAAUGAUGGGUAUAUGUAUCUUGAAAAACCAGUUGUUGAUGUUGUUGUUGUUGUGGGUACAUGUUGGUAGUGUCUU